GUGGGGAAUCUUGCGCAAUGGGCGAAAGCCUGACGCAGCCAUGCCGCGUGAAUGAUGAAGGUCUUAGGAUUGUAAAAUUCUUUCACCGGGGACGAUAAUGACGGUACCCGGUGAAGAAGCUCCGGCUAACUUCGUGCCAGCAGCCGCGGUAAUACGAAGGGGGCUAGCGUUGCUCGGAAUUACUGGGCGUAAAGGGCGCGUAGGCGGACAGCUUAGUCAGAGGUGAAAGCCCAGGGCUCAACCUUGGAAUUGCCUUUGAUACUGGCUGUCUUGAGUUUGGGAGAGGUGAGUGGAACUCCGAGUGUAGAGGUGAAAUUCGUAGAUAUUCGGAAGAACACCAGUGGCGAAGGCGACUCACUGGCCCAAUACUGACGCUGAGGCGCGAAAGCGUGGGGAGCAAACAGGAUUAGAAACCCCGGUAGUCC
This 425-nucleotide ribosomal RNA is filed under the name uncultured bacterium. Its description in RNAcentral is "partial 16S ribosomal RNA". It matches the Rfam family "Bacterial small subunit ribosomal RNA", at positions 354 to 796 of the family's 1533-position model. The record is from RNAcentral.